Xenopus tropicalis (tropical clawed frog) is the source of this 131-nucleotide small nucleolar RNA. The record is from Ensembl. Lineage: Eukaryota; Metazoa; Chordata; Amphibia; Anura; Pipidae.
ACGCAUCCAUUGAUAGACCGUGAGCUCUGUAAUAGCUUUUUUGGUUUGCACAGAGAUGCAAUAGAAUAAUUCCUCGCGCUUUCUGUCUGUCUUAAUAUGUGGCUUUUCAGAUUGAAUAGAGGAAUACAAAU